This 518-nucleotide ribosomal RNA is filed under the name uncultured bacterium. RNAcentral describes it as "bacterial SSU rRNA". It matches the Rfam family "Bacterial small subunit ribosomal RNA", at positions 8 to 526 of the family's 1533-position model. The record is from RNAcentral.
AGAGUUUGAUCAUGGCUCAGGAUGAACGCUAGCGGCAGGCCUAAUACAUGCAAGUCGAACGGUUGUGGAGCAAUCCAUGAUAGUGGCAAACGGGUGCGUAACGCGUAAUCAAGCUGCCCCUCACUGGGGGAUAGCCCGGCGAAAGCUGGGGUAAGCCCGCAUAGUACCAUUAUCUGGCAUCAGGUGAUGGUUAAAAUCUUUUUGGUGGUGAGGGAGGUGGUUGCGUCUGAUUAGCUGGUUGGGGGGGUAACGGCUCACCAAGGCGAUGAUCAGUAGGGGAACUGAGAGGUUUGGCCCCCACAUGGGUACUGAGAUACGGACCCAACUCCUACGGGAGGCAGCAGUAGGGAAUAUUGGGCAAUGGAGGCAACUCUGACCCAGCCAUGCCGCGUGCAGGACGACGGCGCUCAGCGUUGUAAACUGCUUUUGCCCAAGAAGAAUGACAGGGGUGCGCCCCUGUGUGACGGUAUUGGGUGAAUAAGCACCGGCUAACUCCGUGCCAGCCGCCGCGGUAAUUC